RNAcentral lists this ribosomal RNA (482 nucleotides) under uncultured bacterium. RNAcentral's name for it is "SSU rRNA". It matches the Rfam family "Bacterial small subunit ribosomal RNA", at positions 26 to 523 of the family's 1533-position model. The record is from RNAcentral.
AGGAUAAACGCUGGCGGCGUGCCUAACACAUGCAAGUCGAACGCGCUUUCGUCUUCGGAGGAGAGCGAGUGGCGGACGGGUGAGUAACACAUGGGUACCUACCCCACAGUGAGGGAUACCGGCGAGAAAUCGCCGACAAUACCGCAUAGGCUUCUCUUUGGAGACGAGGAGAAGCAAAGUUGCGCAAGCGACGCUGAGGGAUGGGCCUGUGGCCGAUUAGCUAGUUGGGGGGUAACGGCCUCCCAAGGCUUCGAUCGGUAGCUGGUCUGAGAGGACGAUCAGCCACACUGGGAUUGAGAACGGCCCAGACUCCUACGGGGGGCAGCAGUGAGGAAUUUUCCGCAAUGGAGGCAACUCUGACGGAGCAACGCCGCGUGCAGGAUGAAGGUUUUCGGAUCGUAAACUGCUUUUCUCGGGGACGAGCAAGGGACGGUACCCGAGGAACGAAGCCCCGGCUAACUACGCGCCAGCAGCCGCGGUAA